Molecule: transfer RNA, 77 nt
Filed under: Rhodospirillaceae bacterium
Lineage: Bacteria; Pseudomonadati; Pseudomonadota; Alphaproteobacteria; Rhodospirillales; Rhodospirillaceae
Description: tRNA-His
Rfam family: tRNA
About the family: Transfer RNA (tRNA) molecules are approximately 80 nucleotides in length. Their secondary structure includes four short double-helical elements and three loops (D, anti-codon, and T loops).
Source: RNAcentral
GCGGGUGUAGCUCAGUUGGUUAGAGCGCAUGAUUGUGGAUCAUGAGGUCGUGGGUUCAAUUCCCAUCACUCGCCCCA